GUAGGGUGCGAGCGUUAAUCGGAAUUACUGGGCGUAAAGCGUGCGCAGGCGGUUUUGUAAGCCAGAUGUGAAAUCCCCGGGCUCAACCUGGGAAUGGCAUUUGGGACUGCAAAGCUGGAGUGCGGCAGAGGGGACUGGAAUUCCUGGUGUAGCAGUGAAAUGCGUAGAGAUCAGGAGGAAUACCGAUGGCGAAGGCAGGUCCCUGGGUUGACACUGACGCUCAUGCACGAAAGCGUGGGGAGCAAACAGGAUUAGAUACCCUGGUAGUCCACGCCCUAAACGAUGUCGACUGGUUGUUGGGGGUUUGACACUCUCAGUAACGAAGCUAACGCGUGAAGUCGACCGCCUGGGGAGUACGGCCGCAAGGUUA
RNAcentral lists this ribosomal RNA (370 nucleotides) under uncultured bacterium. Its description in RNAcentral is "bacterial SSU rRNA". It matches the Rfam family "Bacterial small subunit ribosomal RNA", at positions 527 to 896 of the family's 1533-position model. The record is from RNAcentral.